This 585-nucleotide long non-coding RNA is filed under the name Ixodes scapularis (black-legged tick). RNAcentral's name for it is "uncharacterized LOC115321639". Lineage: Eukaryota; Metazoa; Arthropoda; Arachnida; Ixodida; Ixodidae. The record is from RNAcentral.
GCCUACCUCAACAUGCGGCACUACGGGCAGCAAGGGAUGGGCGCAAGUGCCAGCGAAUACCAGACACCCUGAAGCCGGUGGAUGAUCAUCUCGACAUGUUCCUUGUGGUGCCAGCAACACUUGCACCGCUGGUGUGGCAUUCUUUGCACGCUAUGCUGGGAUAGUUUUUUAGGAGUGCCAUGUCUGGACAGCUUAUUCAGAAGCAGGCUGUCGUCGUCGAGAUCCAUGCUUUUUUUUUAACGGAUGAUGUUGCAGUGCCCACAUGGGCACUACAGAUUUGCAGCCUACAGGCAGUGUGCCCUGUGGCUGUGGAGCCGCUUGGGAAAGAAGAAUGGGCGGCCCCUGCCAUCCUGUGUGGUCAAGACAAUUAGGGGCAGGUACCCUGCUGACGUGUAUGCGGGCUACAAGGAUGCAGAAUAAAUUGCGUUGACCUAGAGACCACGCAACCCCCUUCCCUUGUCUCUUCACCCUCCCUGCAUGUGUGUGAAGUCGCUCGUAGCCAUGAACGGAAUCCUCUAAAUCACGUGACCUAUUAUCUACGAUAUCACGUGACCAUAACUAUGAUCACAUGAUCGUAGUCAAACC